Molecule: non-coding RNA, 33 nt
Filed under: unclassified sequences
Description: L31-Coriobacteria ribosomal protein leader
Rfam family: L31-Coriobacteria ribosomal protein leader
Source: RNAcentral
GCCUUGGUCGGAAACUAAGGCAUACCAAAGGAG